Molecule: ribosomal RNA, 301 nt
Filed under: uncultured bacterium
Lineage: Bacteria
Description: partial 16S ribosomal RNA
Rfam family: Bacterial small subunit ribosomal RNA
Source: RNAcentral
CAGUAGCCACGGUAAUGCGUAGGUGGCAAGCGUUGUCCGGAAUUAUUGGGCGUAAAGGGCUCGCAGGCGGUUUCUUAAGUCUGAUGUGAAAGCCCCCGGCUCAACCGGGGAGGGUCAUUGGAAACUGGGAAACUUGAGUGCAGAAGAGGAGAGUGGAAUUCCACGUGUAGCGGUGAAAUGCGUAGAGAUGUGGAGGAACACCAGUGGCGAAGGCGACUCUCUGGUCUGUAACUGACGCUGAGGAGCGAAAGCGUGGGUAGCGAACAGGAUUAGAUACCCCGGUAGUCCCUGUCUCUUAUAC